Molecule: ribosomal RNA, 180 nt
Filed under: Lactarius pterosporus
Lineage: Eukaryota; Fungi; Basidiomycota; Agaricomycetes; Russulales; Russulaceae
Description: partial 25S ribosomal RNA
Rfam family: Eukaryotic large subunit ribosomal RNA
Source: RNAcentral
CUUGACCUCAAAUCGGGUGAGACUACCCGCUGAACUUAAGCAUAUCAAUAAGCGGAGGAAAAGAAACUAACAAGGAUUCCCCUAGUAACUGCGAGUGAAGCGGGAAAAGCUCAAAUUUAAAAUCUGGCGGUCCUUGGCCGUCCGAGUUGUAAUUUAGAGAAGCGUCUUCCGCGCUGGACG